This 492-nucleotide ribosomal RNA is filed under the name uncultured bacterium. RNAcentral describes it as "partial 16S ribosomal RNA". It matches the Rfam family "Bacterial small subunit ribosomal RNA", at positions 28 to 507 of the family's 1533-position model. The record is from RNAcentral.
GAUGAACGCUAGCUACAGGCUUAACACAUGCAAGUCGAGGGGAAACGCCAUCGAAAGCUUGCUUUUGAUGGGCGUCGACCGGCGCACGGGUGAGUAACGCGUAUCCAACCUGCCCACCACUUGGGGAUAACCUUGCGAAAUUAAGACUAAUACCCAAUGACGUCUCUAGAAGACAUCUGAAAGAGAUUAAAGAUUUAUCGGUGAUGGAUGGGGAUGCGUCUGAUUAGCUUGUUGGCGGGGUAACGGCCCACCAAGGCGACGAUCAGUAGGGGUUCUGAGAGGAAGGUACCCCACAUUGGAACUGAGACACGGUCCAAACUCCUACGGGAGGCAGCAGUGAGGAAUAGUGGGCAAGGGACGAGAGUCUGAACCAGCCAAGUAGCGUGCAGGAUGACGGCACUAUGGGUUGUAAACUGCUUUUAUAAGGGAAUAAAGUGAGUCUCGGGAGACUUUUUGCAUGUACCCUAUGAAUAAGGACCGGCUAAUUCCGUG